This 404-nucleotide ribosomal RNA is filed under the name Bacillota bacterium. RNAcentral's name for it is "Firmicutes bacterium partial 16S ribosomal RNA". It matches the Rfam family "Bacterial small subunit ribosomal RNA", at positions 355 to 776 of the family's 1533-position model. The record is from RNAcentral. Lineage: Bacteria; Bacillati; Bacillota.
UGGGGAAUAUUGCACAAUGGGUGAAACCCUGAUGCAGCAACGCCGCGUGAGUGAUGACUGCCUUCGGGUUGUACAGCUCUGUCUUCAGGGACGAUAAUGACGGUACCUGAUGAGGAAGCCACGGCUAACUACGUGCCAGCAGCCGCGGUAAUACGUAGGUGGCGAGCGUUGUCCGGAUUUACUGGGCGUAAAGGGAGCGUAGGCGGAUUUUUAAGUGAGAUGUGAAAUACUCGGGCUUAACCUGAGUGCUGCAUUUCAAACUGGAAGUCUAGAGUGCAGGAGAGGAGAAGGGAAUUCCUAGUGUAGCGGUGAAAUGCGUAGAGAUUAGGAAGAACACCAGUGGCGAAGGCGCUUCUCUGGACUGUAACUGACGCUGAGGCUCGAAAGCGUGGGGAGCAAACAGG